RNAcentral lists this ribosomal RNA (254 nucleotides) under uncultured bacterium. RNAcentral describes it as "partial 16S ribosomal RNA". It matches the Rfam family "Bacterial small subunit ribosomal RNA", at positions 524 to 776 of the family's 1533-position model. The record is from RNAcentral.
AACGUAGGAGCCAAGCGUUAUCCGAAUUCACUGGGCGUAAAGCGCGUGCAGGCGGCUGGGUAAGUUGGAUGUGAAAUCUCCUGGCUCAACUGGGAGAGGCCGUUCAAUACUACCUGGCUUGAGGGCGACAGAGGGAGGUGGAAUUCCGGGUGUAGCGGUGAAAUGCGUAGAUAUCUGGAGGAAUACCGGUGGCGAAGGCGGCAUCCUGGACCAUUUACUGACGCUGAGGCGCGAAAGCUAGGGGAGCAAACGGG